UACGAAGGUCCCAAGCGUUGUUCGGAAUCACUGGGCGUAAAGGGAGCGUAGGCGGCGUGGUAAGUCAGAUGUGAAAUCCCGGGGCUCAACCCCGGAACUGCAUCCGAUACUGCCAUGCUAGAGGAUUGGAGAGGUAGCUGGAAUUCUUGGUGUAGCAGUGAAAUGCGUAGAGAUCAAGAGGAACACUCGUGGCGAAAGCGGGUCUCUGGGCCGAUACUGACGCUGAGGAGCGAAAGCGUGGGGAGCGAACAGG
RNAcentral lists this ribosomal RNA (253 nucleotides) under uncultured bacterium. Its description in RNAcentral is "partial 16S ribosomal RNA". It matches the Rfam family "Bacterial small subunit ribosomal RNA", at positions 524 to 776 of the family's 1533-position model. The record is from RNAcentral.